Long non-coding RNA from Triticum aestivum (bread wheat), 629 nucleotides. RefSeq lists it as uncharacterized. The record is from RefSeq and is a predicted model, not a curated record. The transcript is spliced from 3 exons. NCBI's taxonomy places the organism in Eukaryota, Viridiplantae, Streptophyta, Magnoliopsida, Poales, Poaceae.
AUCGCGCGUGCGCACGGCGGCGCAACGAAUCCAUCCCUCGCUCCCUUUGGUCCUCAACUUCUGAUCCCUGCAGCCCACAGCGGGCAGCAGGCAUCGAUCCAAUUUCAAAGCCACAACCCACAGAUUCAUCUAUCCAAGUCAAUUCCGAAUUGUUCAGGCAAGAUAAUUUGCAAGGGAAUACUUGAAUGAUUGCUUGGUCACAUUCGUUUAAAGGGAAUUCUUCUUGCAAGUUACGGACGAGGACAUCAUCACUCAUUUUCAAAGCAUCAAGGAUCGCAAAGUUAUCUUGUAAUUUGUCCUCGAACUGAAGAUGAACGGGGGAACUAUGCUUGGGAGCAACUGCUCUUCAACGAGAGGCGCCGGGGCCGCAUAAUGACGGCAAUGGAGAGGUUGGGGUUCAUCUUAUGCUAACAAAUGACGAGGCACCUACAAAAUAAUGAAUCGAAGGCAACGGAGAGGAUGCUGAGGUGACAGAAGAAAACUGAAAGCAUGUCUGAUUGAUGGCGAUUUUUGAAGGUGAGAAGGCAAAAUGGAUUAUGUGUUUUGUUGUGGCAUGCUCGAGUUUAUCCGUCUCGGGCUUUGUGGUUGCUGGGGUGGGGUCUUCCCUAUGUAAUAUGUAUUGUUUGUUU